GAGUUUGAUCCUGGCUCAGGACGAACGCUGGCGGCGUGCUUAACACAUGCAAGUCGAACGGAAAGCGCUCUUCGGAGUGACUCGAGUGGCGAACGGGUGAGUAACACGUGGGUGAUCUGCCCUGCGCUUUGGGAUAAGCCUGGGAAACUGGGUCUAAUACCGGAUAGGACCACGGCAUGCAUGUGCUGUGGUGGAAAGCUUUUGCGGUGUGGGAUGGGCCCGCGGCCUAUCAGCUUGUUGGUGGGGUGAUGGCCUACCAAGGCGACGACGGGUAGCCGGCCUGAGAGGGUGUCCGGCCACACUGGGACUGAGAUACGGCCCAGACUCCUACGGGAGGCAGCAGUGGGGAAUAUUGCACAAUGGGCGCAAGCCUGAUGCAGCGACGCCG
RNAcentral lists this ribosomal RNA (388 nucleotides) under uncultured Actinomycetes bacterium. RNAcentral describes it as "bacterial SSU rRNA". It matches the Rfam family "Bacterial small subunit ribosomal RNA", at positions 9 to 399 of the family's 1533-position model. The record is from RNAcentral. Lineage: Bacteria; Bacillati; Actinomycetota; Actinomycetes.